RNAcentral lists this ribosomal RNA (464 nucleotides) under uncultured bacterium. RNAcentral describes it as "partial 16S ribosomal RNA". It matches the Rfam family "Bacterial small subunit ribosomal RNA", at positions 339 to 795 of the family's 1533-position model. The record is from RNAcentral.
CUACGGGUUGCAGCAGUGAGGAAUUUUGCGCAAUGGGGGAAACCCUGACGCAGCAACGCCGCGUGAGCGAAGAAGGCCCUCGGGUCGUAAAGCUCUGUCAAGUGGGAAAAAAAUCUUUUGAUCAAUAGUCAAGAGACUUGAUGGUACCACUGGAGGAAGCACCGGCCAACUCCGUGCCAGCAGCCGCGGUAAUACGGAGGGUGCAAGCGUUGUUCGGAUUUACUGGGCGUAAAGAGCGUGUAGGCGGUUUAGCAAGUCAGAUGUGAAAGCCCUGGGCUCAACCCGGGAAGUGCAUUUGAAACUGCUUCACUAGAGUAUGGGAGAGGAGAUUGGAAUUCCUGGUGUAGAGGCGAAAUUCGUAGAUAUCAGGAGGAACACCCGUGGCGAAGGCGAUUCUCUGGACCAAUACUGACGCUGAGACGCGAAAGCGUGGGGAGCAAACAGGAUUAGAUACCCUGGUAGUC